RNAcentral lists this non-coding RNA (79 nucleotides) under uncultured Enterocloster sp. Lineage: Bacteria; Bacillati; Bacillota; Clostridia; Lachnospirales; Lachnospiraceae. The record is from RNAcentral.
GAUACAUAGGAACCUCCUCACAAAGGAUUCUAUGGACAGUCGAUGCAGGGAGGCGUGAACUCCCUGCAUCGGCGAUUUU